UACAGAGGGGGGCUAGCGUUGCUCGGAAUUACUGGGCGUAAAGCGCACGUAGGCGGUCUUUUAAGUCGGGGGUGAAAUCCUGGAGCUCAACUCCAGAACUGCCUUCGAUACUGGAAGACUCGAGUCCGGGAGAGGUGAGUGGAACUGCGAGUGUAGAGGUGAAAUUCGUAGAUAUUCGCAAGAACACCAGUGGCGAAGGCGGCUCACUGGCC
This 212-nucleotide ribosomal RNA is filed under the name uncultured bacterium. RNAcentral describes it as "partial 16S ribosomal RNA". It matches the Rfam family "Bacterial small subunit ribosomal RNA", at positions 524 to 734 of the family's 1533-position model. The record is from RNAcentral.